Molecule: long non-coding RNA, 621 nt
Organism: Stylophora pistillata
Lineage: Eukaryota; Metazoa; Cnidaria; Anthozoa; Scleractinia; Pocilloporidae
Source: RefSeq, a predicted model, not a curated record
UCAGUAAAGUACGCAUAAUUAAUAUUUUCUAUCGGACCUCGUUUUGUAUGACAACCACUGGUUAAUUCCACUACCUUCAAAUGAAUGGUACGCUAACAAGUCUUACCGUUAAAUCUUAAGGUCAUUCCAAACAUCCACGUAGCAAAUUUGUCAACAUGUCAUGAUGAUGGGUUACUUUUGGCUUCAAGGAGCUUUAACCUGUUUAGUACUAUUGACUGUUACCGGCGCUUUGUGGAAUCUUCCAAUUGUCAGAGCUGAAACGUGCAAUCCCAGUAUAAAAAUUAGACCCAAUGUCAGCAUCUCUUCAAGUUCAGGAAACAGCUGCUACCCAUUGGUGCCGACAUAACCCUGACUUGUACAGCACAGCCCAGAAAGACAGACGAAGUAUAUCUGGAUAGAUGAGUCGAUUAUAUCGAGUGGUACGAUCCACAGGGUAGACGCGUUGGAGCUAAAUGCAAACAGCCCUCAAACGUACAUGCUCAUAAACGUAAAUUAAGCUGUCCAUUGUUGCUUAAAAAUUUGACAGUUGACCAAUUUGACAGCUACACAUGCCAAGCUGGAAAUGGUUACGCAAAACACUGCACAAGGGAAUCAAUACCGAUAGGUAAGCAGCCUUAUCAU